GGGCCCGCUCGCGUGGCGCUGCGGUCUCCUUCCGCCCCCUCCUCGUUACCGUCCGUUUCGAGCUACUGCUCGCGCUACACGCAGACAGAAAUUGGAGCUCCUCAGCCGUAGUAAGGCCCAGCGGCACCCCGAGGUGUACCUGAUAUCAAUUCUCCUAUGUGGAUACGCUGUUCCAUCUUCUUUAUUUGGCAGCUGACAGACACCCUGAGAGAAGUUUUCAACUCUCAAGCAACAAAUCUACAGAAGCAACACAACAACAAACAUAGCAUCACUUGGAAUUCUCAAGAGUUAGCCGCAACAGAUGAAGGAAGGCACAUCCGCUAUCGCAGUACUAUUGUGAAACAGGCAGCUUGACAAAAGAAACUUUAUUGGAGUGUGAACUGAUGACCCAAAGUUACACUCACCCUCUAAAGUUUUAAUUCCUUCCUCAACAAACUUCCUGGCAGCAGCUGGACUAGAAAGAGACAAAGCAAGAUGCAAUCAGGAACAGCAAGAGUCUUACAACACUGAAAAGAACGUUUGUAUUCAUAGUAACUCCCUGGGUUCUUUGAGGCCAAGAUUAAACUUGCUUCUAAUGCUUA
This is a long non-coding RNA of Cygnus olor (mute swan), 581 nucleotides long. RefSeq lists it as uncharacterized. The record is from RefSeq and is a predicted model, not a curated record. Lineage: Eukaryota; Metazoa; Chordata; Aves; Anseriformes; Anatidae. The transcript is spliced from 4 exons.